This 253-nucleotide ribosomal RNA is filed under the name uncultured bacterium. RNAcentral describes it as "partial 16S ribosomal RNA". It matches the Rfam family "Bacterial small subunit ribosomal RNA", at positions 524 to 776 of the family's 1533-position model. The record is from RNAcentral.
UACGUAGGUGGCAAGCGUUGUCCGGAUUUACUGGGCGUAAAGGGCGUGCAGGCGGUCUGUUAAGUGCAGGGUGAAAGCUCCCGGCUCAACUGGGAGAGGUCCUUGCAUACUGGCGGACUUGAGGGGGGUAGAGGAAAGUGGAAUUCCCGGUGUAGUGGUGAUAUGCGUAGAUAUCAGGAGGAACACCGAUGGCGAAGGCAGUGGUCUGGGCCGAUACUGACGCUGAGGAGCGAAAGCGUGGGGAGCGAACAGG